This 305-nucleotide ribosomal RNA is filed under the name uncultured bacterium. Its description in RNAcentral is "bacterial SSU rRNA". It matches the Rfam family "Bacterial small subunit ribosomal RNA", at positions 337 to 634 of the family's 1533-position model. The record is from RNAcentral.
GCCUACGGGGCGCAGCAGUGGGGAAUAUUGCGCAAUGGGCGAAAGCCUGACGCAGCGACGCCGCGUGAGGGAUGAAGGUCUUCGGAUCGUAAACCUCUGUCAGCGGGGAAGAACGGUCACUGUGCUAAUCAGCAGUGAAUUGACGGUACCUGCAAAGGAAGCACCGGCUAACUCCGUGCCAGCAGCCGCGGUGAUACGGAGGGUGCGAGCGUUAAUCGGAAUUACUGGGCGUAAAGCGCUCGUAGGCGGUAUGUCAAGUCAAGGGUGAAAUCCCCGCGCUCAACGUGGGUACUGCCUUUGAAACU